This 81-nucleotide transfer RNA is filed under the name Plasmodium falciparum RAJ116. RNAcentral's name for it is "tRNA-Ile". Lineage: Eukaryota; Apicomplexa; Aconoidasida; Haemosporida; Plasmodiidae. The record is from RNAcentral.
AAAUUUAUAAUUAAUUUAAAUAUUUUAUUUAUAUUUAAUUUAUAUAAAUAUAUUUUAUAAAUUAAAUAUUUAUUAAAAUUA